GAUGAAGAACGUAGCGAAAUGCGAUAAGUAAUGUGAAUUGCAGAAUUCAGUGAAUCAUCGAAUCUUUGAACGCAUCUUGCGCUCCUUGGUAUUCUGAGGAGCAUGCCUGUUUGAGUGUCAUUAAAUUCUCAACUACACUGACUUUGAAUUGGUGUGGCUUGGAUUUGGGUGGGAAAAUUGUUGUGGGCUUUUUGUAUAGUCUGCUCCCCUGAAAUUGAUUAGCGGUACCUUUGUGGAACUGUCUACAGGUGUGAUAAUUAUCUACAUCAUAGACAUCUGCUGGAAUGCUGCUUUCUAAACCUUACUUGUAUUGACAAUCUUGACCUCAAAUCAGGUAGGACUACCCGCUGAACUUAAGCAUAUCAAUAAGCGGAGGA
This 377-nucleotide unclassified non-coding RNA is filed under the name soil metagenome. Its description in RNAcentral is "partial contains 5.8S ribosomal RNA, internal transcribed spacer 2, and large subunit ribosomal RNA". The stretch from base 1 to 120 matches the Rfam family "5.8S ribosomal RNA", at positions 35 to 154 of the family's 154-position model. The record is from RNAcentral.